GCCCGAUGCGGUGCGACGUUUUAGUUUUCGA
Molecule: small RNA, 31 nt
Filed under: Bombyx mori (domestic silkworm)
Lineage: Eukaryota; Metazoa; Arthropoda; Insecta; Lepidoptera; Bombycidae
Description: ovarian small RNA-5318
Source: RNAcentral